UACAGAGGGUGCGAGCGUUGUCCGGAAUCACUGGGCGUAAAGGGCGCGUAGGCGGCUCGGUAAGCGUGUGGUGAAAGCCCGGGGCUCAACCCCGGGUCGGCCAUGCGAACUGUCGAGCUGGAGCACGGUAGAGGCACAUGGAAUUCCGGGUGUAGCGGUGGAAUGCGUAGAGAUCCGGAAGAACACCGGUGGCGAAGGCGGUGUGCUGGGCCGUAGCUGACGCUGAGGCGAGACAGCGUGGGGAGCAAACAGG
This 253-nucleotide ribosomal RNA is filed under the name uncultured bacterium. RNAcentral's name for it is "partial 16S ribosomal RNA". It matches the Rfam family "Bacterial small subunit ribosomal RNA", at positions 524 to 776 of the family's 1533-position model. The record is from RNAcentral.